UGGGGAAUUUUGGACAAUGGGGGAAACCCUGAUCCAGCCAUCCCGCGUGUGCGAUGAAGGCCUUCGGGUUGUAAAGCACUUUUGGCAGGAAAGAAACGUCGCGGGUUAAUACCCCGCGAAACUGACGGUACCUGCAGAAUAAGCACCGGCUAACUACGUGCCAGCAGCCGCGGUAAUACGUAGGGUGCAAGCGUUAAUCGGAAUUACUGGGCGUAAAGCGUGCGCAGGCGGUUCGGAAAGAAAGAUGUGAAAUCCCAGAGCUUAACUUUGGAACUGCAUUUUUAACUACCGGGCUAGAGUGUGUCAGAGGGAGGUGGAAUUCCGCGUGUAGCAGUGAAAUGCGUAGAUAUGCGGAGGAACACCGAUGGCGAAGGCAGCCUCCUGGGAUAACACUGACGCUCAUGCACGAAAGCGUGGGGAGCAAACAGGAUUAGAUACCCUGGUAGUCCACGCCCUAAACGAUGUCAACUAACUGUUGGGGCCUUCGGGCCUUGGUAGCGCAGCUAACGCGUGAAGUUGACCGCCUGGGGAGUACGGUCGCAAGAUUAAAACUUAAAGGAAUUG
This 564-nucleotide ribosomal RNA is filed under the name uncultured bacterium. RNAcentral describes it as "partial 16S ribosomal RNA". It matches the Rfam family "Bacterial small subunit ribosomal RNA", at positions 355 to 912 of the family's 1533-position model. The record is from RNAcentral.